UUCUCGGCCUUUUGGCUAAGAUCAAGUGUAGUAUCUGUUCUUAUCAGUUUAAUAUCUGUUAUGUGGGCCAUGUGUCCACUUUGAUAUUAAAUUUAUUUUUUGUGGGGUAGGGCCCACUACAGUGGCUUGCCUCUGGGGCUCUCAAGCGUCGCUCAGGCGUUGCACUACUGCCUGAGCCUGGCGCACCCCAACCAAAUCUCAAUUAUAAAAUUUCUAUCGGAUUUGAAUUUAAGUUGCAGCUAACGUGAACUAGAACGCCACUUGGAAUUGGUCCCUUUGUUUGAUUUUGUCUGUACCUAUGCAGUAGCGGCGCGGUGAGCAGCUGGGCGCCGACGAGGAGCACGCUAGUGCAGCUGCGGCGGUUGCGGUUUACAAGGAUGUUCUACAGACCUGGUGGAGUAUAUGAUGAAUUGUCCGCUGGUAAAGAUGCGAGUAGGGCACUGACCAAGAUGUCCUCCGAGCCGCAGGAUCUGACUGGCGAUAUAUCUAGGCUUACACCAUUCCAGCUUGGUUCCUUGAAUGACUGGGAGUACAAGUUCACCAGCUAGUACAUGAAAGUGGGAACCAUAAGAAGAACAACGCCUGCAGAUGAGGGUUACGGUAGCAUUUCACCUGAAAUACGGGAGGAAGCUGCUGCUCCCGAGCCCGAGCCUGUGCCGAACGAAGACGAUGCAUCAUGAAACGCACAAAGACAUCCGAGCUCUGAGGGGAGGAACGAAAUUUAGGGCGGGGCACUGCUGAUGAAUGCUCCAAAGAGAGUCAGAAACCGAAUGUCAGUUCCUAUAUGCUGCAUUCGUCAGGCUUGAUGUCAGUUACUUUCCUGUUCUCCGACUGUCUAGUCUUCGAUUUGGUUGGCUAGUGCUAUAGAUGCUAUGCAGUUUAACUGAUUAGGCUUGACAAAACAAAAACAGGGUUCUUGCUCACUUCUGCAAUUUCACGUCUAACUGUAACACAUGUGCUGUGUGUGGGCUUGAUCUAUGGACAGUGGGUCCCACAUGUAAGUGUGUGAGAGAGGAGGCAUAUAAGCCAGCAUCAUGUACAGAGGAAAAGGGAAUGGAAAAUAAAUUGAAGUCGAGUUUCUCU
This is a long non-coding RNA of Phragmites australis (common reed), 1083 nucleotides long. RefSeq lists it as uncharacterized. The transcript has 2 exons. The record is from RefSeq and is a predicted model, not a curated record. NCBI's taxonomy places the organism in Eukaryota, Viridiplantae, Streptophyta, Magnoliopsida, Poales, Poaceae.